UUUUUUUUUUUUCUUUUCAUGGUGGAGAGAGGUCUGAAUUAUAUUAGUAUUUGCUGCUUUUUGGAAUAAAUGAAAGGUUCCUGGGCUCUUCCAAUGAGGAAAAGACUUACUGGAGGCUCUUUUUCAUAUCUCGCUCAUUUUGGUUCUGGGCAGAAAGUGAUAGAUAUUGGAAGCCAACCUGGAAAAUCAUGGAAGGUCUUGCUGGAUGGAGAUGUCUCCACUGUAGAGUUAAGAUAGGUCUUCCUGAGGGACGGAGGGGGCAAUGGAUCUGGGAAGUCAUGAUUCUUUCUCCAGCAAGAGAUGUACCUGGAGAGUAUCGAUGUGCUUUCCUACUUUGCACUGCUUCUAAGGAGUCAAUAGCCCUCCUAGAUUGAUAGGUCUGGAGGUUCAUAGUGGACCCUCUUCAGGGCAGACAGGUCUGAGGAGUUUUGCUAUCACUCCUAGGAUGAGAAGGAUCUUGGGAAUAAUGACAGCAUUCCUAGGGAGAGAUGAAUCCAUGGAGUCAUGGCAAGAAUGCCUGUGGAAGGACAGGCCUUCAUUCUUGCUUCCAUGUCCUUGGUCCAAAAGGGCUCCAUCUGUGUCCCCACCCAUCUCAUAUCCACAGGAAAAUUUCAUCAUCAUCAUCUUCAUUUUCCAGUUUAGUGGUGAAGACAGAUCAUACCAUGGUCCACACACAUGAUGGUCCACAGCUUCCAUCUUCCUGCCACUGGCCCUGCCAUGCUUGCUACUGAAUCCGAAGCACUCAUCAGCACCAGUGACAAGUGACAUGUCAGAUGUGUGAUGGCUGAGAGUGGUAGAGUAGCCACCAGAGCAACAGCAUGUCAGGGUCUGUGACUUAGCGGGCAGGGAGGAGAAACCACAUCAACAGGUGCACCCUGUUUCUUGGGUCCCAGAUCAGCACUCUGAGGAAAACAUAGCAGGGAGAGGUCCACUCAAGGCCUCACAACUUUGGGAAACUCCUUAUUCAGGUCCUAAGGGGAUACUUCUAUUUUUUGCAAGCAAUUCAUGUAAUGGAAUUAAGCUUAGUCAUGUCUACAGUGUUUAUGCCCAACCAGCUAAGCCUGACUACAUCGGGGAAAUGCCCAAGUGGUUGACGAUGCUACUCACUCAAGGGAAAGGGUAUUUGUGUGAUGAAGGUUAAAGAUAAAAUGGUUUUCAGGGGUAAGGCCUGCUAAAACAAAACCUAGACAGAACCUGAGAGCUUCUUCACUGAUUAGUUAUAUUUUCAUUAUAUUCAAAACACCAUCUCCCUCAGUGGUGAUGGAUGUAGUUUCCCACUAUUUAAUAGUUGAUUUUUUCUGUGCUCUUCUCAUAUGAUCAACCUAAGCCAAACAAGGAAAAUUGCUUUUCCUCUUCCUUGUGAAGAAGGCAAUGUCAUGUCCUUACAUAAUGUUAGCAUUUGGAGACAACAUCUAUACAGUAUCUAAUUUCUCAAAGUGAGUAACUUUGUGAGUCUUCUAUAAAUGUACUGAAGAGAGAUGUGUGUUGGUGAUUAGAUCACCUCCCCUGUCUUCUUUAUUCAACCCACAGCUUGGAGUUGGAGCUCUGAGUGGAGCAGUGUGAAACUCUUCUCCAAGGAAUAAUAUAGCUCAAGGGGCUGUGGGAUGUGAGCACUCUUGACAGUAUCAGAAAUCUGCAGCUGGACAUCACACCCUGCCUCCACAGCCUGCCAGUAGAGUUAGGAAGGAGGGUGGUGACUGCCAACAACACCACUGGCAUCAGAGCAGCUAUUACAGAAGCACUUUUCCUAUAUCCUCUCCCUUCUCACCACACAAUGCAGUAGCUGGUCCUAAAUGAAUCAUUCUCCAGGGCCACAUUGUUCUGGGAAUGUAGAAGUAAACAAGCUAGAAUACAAUGACACUUGAAAAACUGAUCAAACAGAGGGACAACUUGAUCACGAGUUCCUCAAGGAUGGGUUCCUCAUCUGACUCAAUCUCAUCCCUGCUGACCAACGUACUGGAAGAUCAAUGGAUGGCUUCUGGGAAGUUGGUUAAACAGACUUCGAGGAUGACGGGAGCAAAGGGAGCUGCAGGAGGCAGUUCAGGCUGCCAGUAGACCCAGAGUCCUUG
Macaca fascicularis (crab-eating macaque) is the source of this 2069-nucleotide long non-coding RNA. Lineage: Eukaryota; Metazoa; Chordata; Mammalia; Primates; Cercopithecidae. The record is from Ensembl.